Molecule: long non-coding RNA, 1487 nt
Filed under: Vulpes vulpes (red fox)
Lineage: Eukaryota; Metazoa; Chordata; Mammalia; Carnivora; Canidae
Description: lncRNA (ENSVVUG00000013546.1)
Source: RNAcentral
GGGCUGCGGCCACAGGUGUUUGGUGACAAGGCCAGGUGCCACAGAGGGGCUCGGAGGAGUGAACUGAAGCACUUCCCCCUGAACGGGGCAGCCACCGCUCAGGUCCAGCUGGCUGUUACCGGUGGCAAUGAGGGCGACGCUUGCCACUUCACUCACAGGUCAGAAGCCAGAAACCAAGACCUUUCAGUAAAAUUUCAGAAUCUUUAGAUAUUGGCUCAAAAAAAAAAAAAAAAACCCCACACUAAAACCAAAAACCAAAACCCUACCUGCACCCCGGAGUCCUGUGCCUUGCUCACUGCCCCACUCCCCAACCCGCAAGGGUGCCUGGCUCGGAGCACUUUGAGGAAUGAAUGAAUGAAUGACAGCGGAUGGCCCGACACCAUCACCAUCACGGCCCAUCUUUGUGCCAGGUACCCCCCCCCCUUAUCUGAACUUGGCUCAUCUAAGGAAGGAGGCCCCCCAAAAAACCCACUUGCUUUUACUCUGAAUCACCCAAUGCACCGCCCCGCCCCCCACCCCCACGGCUCAUGGCAAGUGGUUGCCUCUUGGACUCUCUCCCAGGACAGAAUCCAGAGGCAGGGGAGCGGCUCCCAUACGACGUGUCUAUGUUUACACCAAGCAGGUAUCCAGACGGUUCUAUGCUGGGAACUACUGCUGGUUACCCAGAACAAUACAAGCUCUUUGUCCUUACAGGAACUCAAGAAAAUCAAGAAGCUGCCAAGGUGACCCCUUCUGAUCCAGGCACCGUGCUACCCACUGACCCCCGCCCCCCUCUACGAGGAACCUGUCAGGACACUCUCCCCCUCUCCCAGGAAUUGAAGGGAUGGACCUGUGUCCAUAACUCGGUGGAAAACAUCGUUCAGAUAAAAUCGCAGCGCUGCUAUCACCUGGACGACUUACAGGAACAAUAGGAGCACAGAAUGUAGAACAGGUCUGUUUACCCAGGAUUUAAGGAAAACAAGGACACUAUGGCAUGGCAAAGACUCUAGGUCCCUCACAUCCUGCCUUCAUACCUGGGAGAGCUGGAGUCAGGAAGAGCUGGAAACUGCUGCUGCCUGAGGAGGAAGAAGACACCAGACCUGAACCAGGAUAAGCCAAGAUAUAGUCUCCUACACCCGAGAUACAGCCUGCAGCCUCCCUAAUCUCCUCUACCCAGUUUAGGGUGGAACAAUCCCAUCCAUGCCAGCACCCUCCCUAAUCCCAUUCAUUCUAUUUCCUUCCUAGGGUUGCUUUCACUCCCUCUUGUUCCGCUUAAUGACCCGGCUUUGGGGCUGAUUCCUUGGUUCUGCUUAUACUCACCACAGGCCCCUUGCUCUGAUGACCUGUCUGAGUAGGCUAGUCUGGUUCACAUACGUGUGCUCUGGGGGCAUCAGAAAUCCAAGACACAUGAGUGAGAUCAUAUCAUAUGUAGAAUUUAAGAAACAAAGCAGAGGAUCAUAGGAGAAGAGAGGUAAAAAUAAAACAAUAUGAAAUCAGAGAGGGAGACA